This 20-nucleotide non-coding RNA is filed under the name Plasmodium falciparum 3D7. The record is from RNAcentral. Lineage: Eukaryota; Apicomplexa; Aconoidasida; Haemosporida; Plasmodiidae.
UUCUAAAUCAUAUUUACCAG